This 191-nucleotide ribosomal RNA is filed under the name Paenibacillus artemisiicola. Its description in RNAcentral is "partial 16S ribosomal RNA". It matches the Rfam family "Bacterial small subunit ribosomal RNA", at positions 1 to 194 of the family's 1533-position model. The record is from RNAcentral. Lineage: Bacteria; Bacillati; Bacillota; Bacilli; Caryophanales; Paenibacillaceae.
UUUAUGGAGAGUUUGAUCCUGGCUCAGGACGAACGCUGGCGGCGUGCCUAAUACAUGCAAGUCGAGCGGAUCUUCCCUUCGGGGAAGGUUAGCGGCGGACGGGUGAGUAACACGUAGGCAACCUGCCUGCAAGACCGGGAUAACAUUCGGAAACGAAUGCUAAUACCGGAUACGCAGUAUCCUCGCAUGGG